RNAcentral lists this long non-coding RNA (930 nucleotides) under Equus caballus (horse). RNAcentral describes it as "lncRNA (ENSECAG00000052655.1)". The record is from RNAcentral. Lineage: Eukaryota; Metazoa; Chordata; Mammalia; Perissodactyla; Equidae.
AGGUGUGCCCCCGACCUUUCCCCUUUCCCCUCUGCACGCCUCCUUCCACUACCACCUGAUGGACAUUUACAAACCCCUGGAAUUGGGAAUUGUUUCUAAAGGGCCCUGUUCUAUACCAAUCAGGAAGAUUAGCCCUGAGCUAACAUCUGCCACCAAUCCUCCUGUUUUUUUCUGAGGAAGACUGGCCCUGAGCUAACAUCCAUGCCCAUCUUCCUCUACUUUAUAUGUGGGACACCUGCCACAGCAUGGUUUGACAAGCAGUGAGUAGGACUGCACCCGGGGGCCGAACCGGUGAACUCUGGGCUGCCAAAGCAGAACAUGUGCACUUAACCACUGUGCCACUGGGCUAGUCCCUUAACUGUGUCUUUUGAUGAACAAGAGUUCUAAACUUGAAUGUAAUUGGCUCAUUAUUUUUUAUUCUACUCUGUUUUAAAACUUCUUUUCCCGUCAUAAUGCUGUAAAGAUAUUAUCCAAUAUUGUCUUCUAAAAGUUUGAUUGCAUUCUUUUUCUAUUAGGUCUGUAAUCCAUCUUUUUUAUGCAUAUGGUGUUAAGUAGGGUGUGUAAUUUCAUCCACCUUCCUAUGGUUAUCCAAUUGUCCCAGCACCACUUAUGGCAAGGCCAGUAUUUCCUUGCUCAUUUGCAAGAUUUGAUGAUCUCAGUCAAGCAUCAAAUAUCCACAUUUGGACUCUAAGUUCUGCCAACUAAUCUUUUUGCCUGUAACUGUGCAAAUACCACACCAUUUUAAAUACUAUAACUUUAUAAAUAAAUUUUAUAACUGGUAGGUCAAGUUGCUCCACUUUAUUCACCUUCUUUAAGAGUGGCUUGGUUAUUACUGACCUUUGCUCGUCCACUUAAAUUUUAGGAUUAGUUUGUUCAAAUUCAACAAAAAAAUACCCUGGGAUAUUUCUUGAAAUUUCAUUAAACCUAUAG